GACGAACGCUGGCGGCGUGCUUAACACAUGCAAGUCGAACGCUGAAGCUUGGUGCUUGCACUGGGUGGAUGAGUGGCGAACGGGUGAGUAAUACGUGAGUAACCUGCCCUUGACUCUGGGAUAAGCCUGGGAAACUGGGUCUAAUACUGGAUACGACAUGUCGCCGCAUGGUGGUGUGUGGAAAGGGGUUUACUGGUUUUGGAUGGGCUCACGGCCUAUCAGCUUGUUGGUGGGGUAAUGGCUCACCAAGGCGACGACGGGUAGCCGGCCUGAGAGGGUGACCGGCCACACUGGGACUGAGACACGGCCCAGUCUCCUACGGGAGGCAGCAGUGGGGAAUAUUGCACAGUGGGCGGAAGCCUGAUGCAGCGACGCCGCGUGAGGGAUGACGGCCUUCGGGUUGUAAACCUCUUUCAGCACGGAAGAAGCGAAAGUGACGGUACGUGCAGAAGAAGCGCCGGCUAACUACGUG
RNAcentral lists this ribosomal RNA (472 nucleotides) under uncultured bacterium. RNAcentral describes it as "partial 16S ribosomal RNA". It matches the Rfam family "Bacterial small subunit ribosomal RNA", at positions 28 to 507 of the family's 1533-position model. The record is from RNAcentral.